Molecule: ribosomal RNA, 492 nt
Filed under: uncultured bacterium
Lineage: Bacteria
Description: partial 16S ribosomal RNA
Rfam family: Bacterial small subunit ribosomal RNA
Source: RNAcentral
AGUGAACGCUGGCGGUAGGCCUAACACAUGCAAGUCGAACGGCAGCACAGUAAGAGCUUGCUCUUACGGGUGGCGAGUGGAGGACGGGUGAGGAAUACAUCGGAAUCUACUUUUUCGUGGGGGAUAACGUAGGGAAACUUACGCUAAUACCGCAUACGACCUACGGGUGAAAGCAGGGGAUCUUCGGACCUUGCGCGAUUGAAUGAGCCGAUGUCGGAUUAGCUAGUUGGCGGGGUAAAGGCCCACCAAGGCGAUGAUCCGUAGCUGGUCUGAGAGGAUGAUCAGCCACACUGGAACUGAGACACGGUCCAGACUCCUACGGGAGGCAGCAGUGGGGAAUAUUGGACAAUGGGCGCAAGCCUGAUCCAGCCAUACCGCGUGGGUGAAGAAGGCCUUCGGGUUGUAAAGCCCUUUUGUUGGGAAAGAAAAGCAGCAGGUUAAUACCCCGCUGUUCUGACGGUACCCAAAGAAUAAGCACCGGCUAACUUCGUG